AGUGAACGCUGGCGGUAGGCCUAACACAUGCAAGUCGAACGGCAGCACAGUAAGAGCUUGCUCUUACGGGUGGCGAGUGGCGGACGGGUGAGGAAUACAUCGGAAUCUACUUUUUCGUGGGGGAUAACGUAGGGAAACUUACGCUAAUACCGCAUACGACCUACGGGUGAAAGCAGGGGAUCUUCGGACCUUGCGCGAUUGAAUGAGCCGAUGUCGGAUUAGCUAGUUGGCGGGGUAAAGGCCCACCAAGGCGACGAUCCGUAGCUGGUCUGAGAGGAUGAUCGGCCACACUGGAACUGAGACACGGUCCAGACUCCUACGGGAGGCAGCAGUGGCGAAUAUUGGACAAUGGUCGCAAGCCUGAUCCAGCCAUACCGCGUGGGUGAUGAAGGCCUUCGGGUUGUAAAGCCCUUUUGUUGGGAAAGAAAAGCAGCAGGUUAAUACCCCGCUGUUCUGACGGUACCCAAAGAAUAAGCACCGGCUAACUUCGUG
This 492-nucleotide ribosomal RNA is filed under the name uncultured bacterium. Its description in RNAcentral is "partial 16S ribosomal RNA". It matches the Rfam family "Bacterial small subunit ribosomal RNA", at positions 29 to 507 of the family's 1533-position model. The record is from RNAcentral.